GUAGGUGAACCUGCGGAAGGAUCACUACCGUGGGGCUUCGGCCCCAUUGAGAUAGCGCCCUUUGUUUAUGAGUACCCUUGUUUCCUCGGUGGGCUUGCCCGCCAUGAGGACAUUAAAACCCUUUGUAGUAGCAGUAGCUUCAGUUAAUAAUAAAUAUUAAAACUUUCAACAACGGAUCUCUUGGUUCCC
Molecule: unclassified non-coding RNA, 189 nt
Filed under: rhizosphere metagenome
Description: partial ribosomal RNA internal transcribed spacer region
Source: RNAcentral